UACGUAGGUGGCAAGCGUUGUCCGGAUUUACUGGGUGUAAAGGGCGUGCAGCCGGGAGUGCAAGUCAGAUGUGAAAUCCCGCGGCUCAACCGCGGAACUGCAUUUGAAACUGUGCUUCUUGAGUGCUGGAGAGGCAGACGGAAUUCCUAGUGUAGCGGUGAAAUGCGUAGAUAUUAGGAGGAACACCAGUGGCGAAGGCGGUCUGCUGGACAGUAACUGACGGUGAGGCGCGAAAGCGUAGGGAGCAAACAGG
Molecule: ribosomal RNA, 253 nt
Filed under: uncultured bacterium
Lineage: Bacteria
Description: partial 16S ribosomal RNA
Rfam family: Bacterial small subunit ribosomal RNA
Source: RNAcentral